Triticum urartu is the source of this 135-nucleotide non-coding RNA. NCBI's taxonomy places the organism in Eukaryota, Viridiplantae, Streptophyta, Magnoliopsida, Poales, Poaceae. The record is from Rfam.
UAAGUACUCCCUCCGUUCCAAAUUACUUGUCUUCGCUUUAUGUAGAUACGGAGGUAUCUAGCACUAAAAUAAGUCUAGAUACAUCCGUAUCUAAACAAAUUCAAGAUAAGUAAUUUGGAACGGAGGGAGUAUUAA